This 253-nucleotide ribosomal RNA is filed under the name uncultured bacterium. RNAcentral's name for it is "partial 16S ribosomal RNA". It matches the Rfam family "Bacterial small subunit ribosomal RNA", at positions 524 to 776 of the family's 1533-position model. The record is from RNAcentral.
UACGGAGGGAGCUAGCGUUGUUCGGAAUUACUGGGCGUAAAGCGCGCGUAGGCGGCUUUGUAAGUUAGAGGUGAAAGCCCGGGGCUCAACUCCGGAACUGCCUUUAAAACUGCAUCGCUUGAAUCCGGGAGAGGUGAGUGGAAUUCCGAGUGUAGAGGUGAAAUUCGUAGAUAUUCGGAAGAACACCAGUGGCGAAGGCGGCUCACUGGACCGGUAUUGACGCUGAGGUGCGAAAGCGUGGGGAGCAAACAGG